GUUUUUAUAGUUUAACAAUAAAACGCUGAUUUUGUAAAUCAAGAAUAAAUUUAUUUUUAAAAACU
Molecule: transfer RNA, 65 nt
Filed under: Parapsyche difformis
Lineage: Eukaryota; Metazoa; Arthropoda; Insecta; Trichoptera; Hydropsychidae
Description: tRNA-Thr
Rfam family: tRNA
About the family: Transfer RNA (tRNA) molecules are approximately 80 nucleotides in length. Their secondary structure includes four short double-helical elements and three loops (D, anti-codon, and T loops).
Source: RNAcentral